Molecule: ribosomal RNA, 443 nt
Filed under: uncultured bacterium
Lineage: Bacteria
Description: partial 16S ribosomal RNA
Rfam family: Bacterial small subunit ribosomal RNA
Source: RNAcentral
CCUACGGGAGACAGCAGUGGGGAAUAUUGGGCAAUGGGCGCAAGCCUGACCCAGCAACGCCGCGUGAAGGAAGAAGGCUUUCGGGUUGUAAACUUCUUUUAUCAGGGACGAAGCAAGUGACGGUACCUGCUGAAUAAGCCACGGCUAACUACGUGCCAGCGGCCGCGGCAAUACGUAGGUGGCAAGCGUUAUCCGGAUUUAGUGGGUGUAAAGGGCGUGUAGGCGGGAGUGCAAGUCAGAGGUGAAAACUAGGGGCUCAACCCAGAGCCUGCAGUUGAAACUGUACUUCUUGAGUGCUGGAGAGGCAAUCGGAAUUCCGGGUGUAGCGGUGAAAUGCGUAGAUAUACGGAGGAACACCAGUGGCGAAGGCGGAUUGCUGGACAGUAACUGACGCUGAGGCGCGAAAGCGUGGGGAGCGAACAGGAUUAGAUACCCGAGUAGUC